Molecule: long non-coding RNA, 2583 nt
Filed under: Pongo abelii (Sumatran orangutan)
Lineage: Eukaryota; Metazoa; Chordata; Mammalia; Primates; Hominidae
Description: lncRNA (ENSPPYG00000036983.1)
Source: RNAcentral
AUAUAUGUUUUGAGAAAAAUGUAAGUUAGGUAUAACUUAUUGUUUUAACUAUUAUAAGGCAGUGUUUACAUAAAUUAAUCAUCUCUUUCUUGGAAAACAUUGAGACAAAUUUAUUUUCAGUUUUACUUAAACAUGAAACCUGUAUUUUAGUUGCUUUUUGUUUUGUCCAGAAAUUUCCAGAUUUUCUCUUCAUUUUUUUUUUCUGGUUAAAAUCUAAACCAUAGUGAAGAUAGUAUUUAUGUUUACAUUUUAUCUGUGAAUGUGGCUAAGCAGAGAAGCUAAAUGGCUUUGGUCUACGUAUUUUUUGACCUCGUAUUUGGUUCUAUAGUUGCAGACUUGUGAAGGCUUACAUCAUCAUGGAGACUUUAGUAUGGAAGGAACCAAAAGGUUUUUGGUUUGGGGAUGCAAACUGGAGGUUAUGUUGCAAGUCUUCGAUGCAUUUUCUGUGUUCCUGGGAGCAGUGUUGCCUUUUUUUUUCCUUUUCCUUUUUUUUUUUUGUAAGACCAGGUAGGGUAGUGUUAUCGAAGGGUAAUUGAAGAGUUGGUAGAGAGUAAGAGGUUUUGAAGGAGGCAGGUUUGCUGUUGUCACCAAAUAAUUUGGGGGAAACCUUUCGUGGCUGUGCUGCAAGAAUUCUUUAUGUGGCUAUCCUCUCCAUAGUUCUCUGACCAGAAUUGCAAGGGCAAAAAUAGAACUUCUAGCUCUAUUUAUUUGUAUCCUUUGAAAUCAGAACUUAUCCUUAGAACCAGUCAGUUAAAUAAUGCGGGCUAUGCCUAUAAUCCCAACACUUUAGGAGGCUGAGGCAGGCAGAUCACAAGGUCAGGAGUUCAAGACCAGCCUGGCCAAUAUGGUGAAACUCCGUCUCUACUAAAAAUACAAAAAUUAGCCGGGCAUGUUGGUGCACGCCCAUGCCUGUAGUCCCAGCUCCUCGGGAGGCUGAGGCAGAAGAAUUGCUUGAACCCAGGAGGCGGAGGUUGCAGUGAGCCGAGAUACUGCCACUACACUCCAGUCUGGGCGACAGAACGAGACUCCAUCUCAAAAAAACAAAAUAAAAUAAAAUAAUAAUGUGGGCUAUUCAGAAGAAAAAGUCAGUGACAGAGAGACCAGAACCCAUUGGAUCAAGAGACCUGCAGGGAUUAUAACUGUUUACUCUGUGAGCAGCGGUGUUUCGUGCCGUCUCUGCCCGUGUGUUUUUACUAAGAAUUCCAGAAAUCCUAUAAUUUGUAAAUGGGAAACAGAGGAACCAGAUUCUUUUAUAGCUGAUAAGAAACAGUCUGUUUUAGAAACAUCUGUUUGGAAAGUAUUACUCAUGUAUUCACAAAGUCAUAUAUAUAACACUUGUCUGCUUUGUAUUCAACAAAAGGCAGUUUCACCAUUAAUUUCAUAGUAAGCUUUUUUAAAGGAUUCUAGAUCUAAAUUGCCUAAGAAUGUUAACCACAUUCUUGUUUUAAACUCUCUAAUUUAAUAAAUGUAAUUAUUUGAUAGUCUUUUAUAGACUUAACGUUUUCUUCAUACUAAAGGUAAUGAUAAUAUAGUCAUUUGCCAGUUCUUUAAGGUAUUCAUGCAUUUGAGACAAGAAAGCUGUCUUGUAGAAUAGUCCAAUUGCUUUCUUAAACAGUACUGGUUUCAUUUAGACAGUUUCUAAGCCAGCAAAGGUGUCAAUUUUAAUGCCAACUUGACAGUUUAACAGUUUGUGUUUGUAAGCAGUUUAGCCUGAAUUACCCCAUACUGCUAUAGAGGAGAAUUGUUAGUAACAUCAAAGGUCAGAAUGCUUCAGGUGACUAAUAAGAAUGGAAAGAGACUGAGUAGGUUUUUUGUUUCUUUUCCCUGUCUUGAGUAACUUUGAAUGACUAAAAUUAGUAUGAAACUAGGUUUUGGACCCCCUUCUCACCUUACCCGGAUGUAAUGCCACCAAUUUCAAAUAACUAAAAUGUGACCAAUUACUUUGCUUCAAGUUCUAUACAGAUAUCUCUGAAAUCUGUAAGCCAUAUUUCAGCUAUUCUGGUUUUUAUAAUACAUUCUACUCUAAAUUAACCAAAGGACUUUUUAUUCAGUGUAUUCCAUGUUUCAGCAUAAGGAAAGUUUGUGCCUGAUAUGGCAAGAGAAAGAACACUAUGGUAAUUUCAUUGUUACUUCAGGUCUCUUUCAAUCUGAAGGACUGGGUUGUCUGGAGAAUUGAACACAGCCGAGCAAUAUUAUCAAUUAGUAAUGUCAUCUUAAAAAUGUUCAGUUUUACUAAGUUUUAUUCAGAGGAUCUAUGUAUUAUUAGAAAAAUGAAGUAUUUCUGAUAUGGAACAAAGAAAGUAGAAACUGGUACUUAAUGGGGGAAGCAAAAUUAGCUUGGACUAAAACAGACAUGUUUUGUUUUGUGAAUUCUACCUAAAUGUCUCUCUAUCCACAGAGAAACUAGUAUUACUUGAAGAUGUGAAAGUUCCUGUGGUAGCCAUACCUUGAAGCACAGUGUUUGUACAUAAGUAAAUAUCUUGAUUCUAAAUUAAAUCCAGAUUUAACUAAUAUAUAUUAUUUUAUAUCUUUGUUGUAUUAAAAUGUUUAAAAACACUAAAAAUAAAACAUUUGAAAGUUGGA